This 248-nucleotide long non-coding RNA is filed under the name Trifolium pratense (red clover). RNAcentral describes it as "long non-coding RNA (TPRA_LNC005055)". Lineage: Eukaryota; Viridiplantae; Streptophyta; Magnoliopsida; Fabales; Fabaceae. The record is from RNAcentral.
UCAAAUUUUUCAUUCUAAUCUUCAUCAUCUUCAAUCUCCUCUGCCUUUAUAGUUUAAAAUUUUCUUUGUUGAAGGAGAAGAACAUGAACAGUUUAUGCGUUUAUAUUUUUCAAGUUUUCUUCAUCAUCUUCAAUUCUGGAUUUGUGAAUUUGGGGCAGAUCUACAAGCUCAUGCGAAUAUAUGUGAUACUGAUAACAAGUUUUCUGCAGUUUAUGAGUUUAUAUUUUCUUUGGCACAAUUGUGGGUUU